UACGUAGGUGGCAAGCGUUGUCCGGAAUUAUUGGGCGUAAAGCGCGCGCAGGCGGUCCUUUAAGUCUGAUGUGAAAGCCCACGGCUCAACCGUGGAGGGUCAUUGGAAACUGGGGGACUUGAGUGCAGAAGAGGAGAGUGGAAUUCCACGUGUAGCGGUGAAAUGCGCAGAUAUCAGGAGGAACACCGAUUGCGAAGGCAGCUCGCUGGGACAUAACUGACGCUGAGACGCGAAAGCGUGGGGAGCAAACAGG
Molecule: ribosomal RNA, 253 nt
Filed under: uncultured bacterium
Lineage: Bacteria
Description: partial 16S ribosomal RNA
Rfam family: Bacterial small subunit ribosomal RNA
Source: RNAcentral